RNAcentral lists this ribosomal RNA (253 nucleotides) under uncultured bacterium. Its description in RNAcentral is "partial 16S ribosomal RNA". It matches the Rfam family "Bacterial small subunit ribosomal RNA", at positions 524 to 776 of the family's 1533-position model. The record is from RNAcentral.
UACGUAUGGUGCGAGCGUUAUCCGGAUUUACUGGGCGUAAAGGGAGCGCAGGCGGCGCGCCAAGUCUGAUGUGAAACCCCGGGGCUCAACCCCGGGCAUGCAUUGGAAACUGGCGGGCUGGAGUGCUGGAGAGGUAAGCGGAAUUCCUAGUGUAGCGGUGAAAUGCGUAGAUAUUAGGAGGAACACCAGUGGCGAAGGCGGCUUACUGGACGGCAACUGACGCUGAGGCUCGAAAGCGUGGGGAGCAAACAGG